RNAcentral lists this ribosomal RNA (253 nucleotides) under uncultured bacterium. RNAcentral describes it as "partial 16S ribosomal RNA". It matches the Rfam family "Bacterial small subunit ribosomal RNA", at positions 524 to 776 of the family's 1533-position model. The record is from RNAcentral.
UACGGAGGAUCCGAGCGUUAUCCGGAUUUAUUGGGUUUAAAGGGUGCGUAGGCGGCCUAUUAAGUCAGGGGUGAAAGACGGUGGCUCAACCAUCGCAGUGCCUUUGAUACUGAUAGGCUUGAAUACACUAGAGGUAGGCGGAAUGUGACAAGUAGCGGUGAAAUGCAUAGAUAUGUCACAGAACACCGAUUGCGAAGGCAGCUUACUAUGGUGUCAUUGACGCUGAGGCACGAAAGCGUGGGGAUCAAACAGG